Molecule: ribosomal RNA, 200 nt
Filed under: uncultured bacterium
Lineage: Bacteria
Description: partial 16S ribosomal RNA
Rfam family: Bacterial small subunit ribosomal RNA
Source: RNAcentral
AGAGUUUGAUCCUGGCUCAGGAUAAACGCUGGCGGCGUGCCUAACACAUGCAAGUCGAACGCUCAGGCGAUAGCCUGGGAGUGGCGGACGGGUGAGGAACACGUGGGUUAUCUACCUUGAGGUGAGGAAUACCGGCGAGAAAUCGCCGACAAUACCGCAUACGUUUGGAAACAAACAAAGCUCAGCAAUGAGCGCCACAA